GUGGGGAAUCUUCCGCAAUGGACGAAAGUCUGACGGAGCGACGCCGCGUGAGUGAUGAAGGCCCUUGGGUCGUAAAGCUCUGUCAUCAGGGACGAACGGUCACGUCAGGAAAUGGGCGUGAAUUGACGGUACCUGAGAAGGAAGCCACGGCUAACUACGUGCCAGCAGCCGCGGUAAUACGUAGGUGGCGAGCGUUGUCCGGAAUUAUUGGGCGUAAAGCGCGCGCAGGUGGGAUCUUAAGUCGGUUCUGAAAGUUCGGAGCUUAACUCCGUGAUGGGAUGGAAACUGGGAUUCUUGAGUAUCGGAGAGGAAAGCGGAAUUCCCCGUGUAGCGGUGAAAUGCGUAGAUAUGGGGAGGAACACCAGUGGCGAAGGCGGCUUUCUGGACGAUGUCUGACACUGAGGCGCGAAAGCCAGGGGAGCGAACGGGAUUAGAUACCCCUGUAGUCC
RNAcentral lists this ribosomal RNA (449 nucleotides) under uncultured bacterium. Its description in RNAcentral is "partial 16S ribosomal RNA". It matches the Rfam family "Bacterial small subunit ribosomal RNA", at positions 354 to 796 of the family's 1533-position model. The record is from RNAcentral.